This 716-nucleotide long non-coding RNA is filed under the name Lupinus angustifolius (narrow-leaved blue lupine). RNAcentral's name for it is "long non-coding RNA (LANG_LNC003473)". The record is from RNAcentral. Lineage: Eukaryota; Viridiplantae; Streptophyta; Magnoliopsida; Fabales; Fabaceae.
AAUAUUAGGCAAAUGGCUUAGCAAACCUAAAAGGGUUUGGAAAGGGGGGAAAAUCCCCCAAAUUCUUUGAGAAGAACCAGGAGGGAGAAAUCCCUAAAUCAAACCUCUUUUCCUAUUCUCUUGUGCCAUCUUCACCGAUUCAGGGAGACGUCGUGAUUGCGAAUCUCGCCAGGAAGGAGAGCCAUUGAUGAUCAUCUCUUCUCCAUUCUUCUUCGACGGCGGCGACGAUGACCGAGGGCCAUCCAUGGCGGUUUCUCCGUUUUCUUUUUUGCAGCGGUGACAAUGAAUCCACGGUUGUGCCGUUUUGAAGCCCCUUCGUGGUUAGCGAUGUUUCUUCUCCUUCAUUCCGGGUCGGUCGAGAUGGUUUGCGGUCCUGGAUCAUACCCGCAAAGUGGUUCUUGAUGGUGGUAAUCGUCUUAGUUUUCGGGACAGCUUAGUAAUUUCUAUUUCCUUUCCCUUUGUUGGACCGAAUCGGUCCUCUUUUUAGUAAGUGAAUGUAAUGGGAUGUACUUAGAUCCCUACAACAAUGGUGGUAAUCACCGAGCUUAACGGCGAUUUUUUUUGCGUUGAUAUGGAUCCUCGAAUGGCUAUUUGGUUCGUGCAGGGUACGAUUGAAUUUUCUACUGUUCAGGUUGUAUCUUAAUGGUUAUGCAUUUGAAAAGCUUUCAUGUAUUACGAAUUCCUCAUGAAUGGAUUUGGACUAUGAUUAAAUGUCA